UUGAUGUUUGAUGGUAUGCAAACUCAGUGAGCUUCCUUGUUCCUCAGCUAUAAAAACUUCACAUCAGGCUGUUAGUGGACUUCACAGCACGUCAGUUUCAACAUAAACCAUGUUUUCUGUAGCUCUGCUGCUGCUGUUGGCAGCUGGAUGUGUGAAGUGUGAACAGUUGACACAGCCAGCCUCUGUGACUGUGCAGCCAGGUCAACAUCUGACCAUCACCUGUCAGGUCUCUUAUUCUCUUGGCUACUACACAGCUUGGAUCAGACAGCCUGCAGGGAAAGGACUGGAGUGGAUUGGAAUGAAAGAUACUGGAGCUUCAUACUACAAAGAUUCUCUGAAGAACAAAUUCAGUAUUGAUUUAGACUCUUCCAGCAACACAGUGACUCUAAAUGGACAGAAUGUGCAGCCUGAAGACUCUGCUGUGUAUUUCUGUGCCAGAGACUCACAGUAACACAAACCAUCAGUGGAGCUGAACAAAAACCCCUCAGUGCCUGAACACUUGGAACAUGAAGUCACCAGAGGAGGAGCCCUCAGACCACUAAUGAUUUCAACACCAGCUCACUGUGAAAGAGACAGAUAAAGCAGAGGAAA
Scatophagus argus is the source of this 591-nucleotide non-coding RNA. The record is from the annotation of a RefSeq genome assembly. NCBI's taxonomy places the organism in Eukaryota, Metazoa, Chordata, Actinopteri, Scatophagidae.